This 463-nucleotide ribosomal RNA is filed under the name Bimastos eiseni. Its description in RNAcentral is "partial 16S ribosomal RNA". It matches the Rfam family "Bacterial large subunit ribosomal RNA", at positions 1859 to 2603 of the family's 2925-position model. Lineage: Eukaryota; Metazoa; Annelida; Clitellata; Crassiclitellata; Lumbricidae. The record is from RNAcentral.
CUGCCCAGUGACUCAAAAAGUUCAACGGCCGCGGUAUCCUAACCGUGCAAAGGUAGCAUAAUCACUUGCCCAUUAAUUGUGGGCUAGAAUGAAAGGACCAACGAAAUAGAUACUGUCUCUAUAAGUAUAGUAAAAAUUAAUCUCUAACUGAAGAUUGUUAGAUUCCGUCGAAGGACAAGAAGACCCUAUAGAGCUUUAUUUAAUAAAAGAUAAAUCACUUUUUUAUAAUUCGGUUGGGGCGACCGGGGAAGUAAUAAAUCAUCCCCUACAACCAGAUAACUAAAUCUAAUAUAUGACCCUUAAAAAAGAUCACAAGAACAAGCUACCUUAGGGAUAACAGGCUAAUCCUAUUAAAGAGUCCUUAUCGAUAAUAGGGUUUGGCACCUCGAUGUUGGCUUAGGGAAUCUAUAUGACGCAAAAGUCAUAUAAAGAUGGUUUGUUCAACCAAUAAUACCCUACGUGA